GCCCUCGUAGCUCAGUGGAUAGAGCGACGGCCUUCGAAGCCGUGCGUCGUGGGUUCGAAUCCUACCGGGGGCA
RNAcentral lists this transfer RNA (73 nucleotides) under Anaerolineae bacterium. RNAcentral's name for it is "tRNA-Arg". It matches the Rfam family "tRNA". From Rfam's summary of the family: Transfer RNA (tRNA) molecules are approximately 80 nucleotides in length. Their secondary structure includes four short double-helical elements and three loops (D, anti-codon, and T loops). The record is from RNAcentral. Lineage: Bacteria; Bacillati; Chloroflexota; Anaerolineae.